RNAcentral lists this ribosomal RNA (1372 nucleotides) under uncultured bacterium. Its description in RNAcentral is "bacterial SSU rRNA". It matches the Rfam family "Bacterial small subunit ribosomal RNA", at positions 28 to 1381 of the family's 1533-position model. The record is from RNAcentral.
GAUGAACGCUGGCGGCGUGCCUAAUACAUGCAAGUCGAGCGAACGGACGAGAAGCUUGCUUCUCUGAUGUUAGCGGCGGACGGGUGGGUAACACGUGGAUAACCUACCUAUAAGACUGGGAUAACUUCGGGAAACCGGAGCUAAUACCGGAUAAUAUUUUGAACCGCAUGGUUCAAAAGUGAAAGACGGUCUUGCUGUCACUUAUAGAUGGAUCCGCGCUGCAUUAGCUAGUUGGUAAGGUAACGGCUUACCAAGGCAACGAUGCAUAGCCGACCUGAGAGGGUGAUCGGCCACACUGGAACUGAGACACGGUCCAGACUCCUACGGGAGGCAGCAGUAGGGAAUCUUCCGCAAUGGGCGAAAGCCUGACGGAGCAACGCCGCGUGAGUGAUGAAGGUCUUCGGAUCGUAAAACUCUGUUAUUAGGGAAGAACAUAUGUGUAAGUAACUGUGCACAUCUUGACGGUACCUAAUCAGAAAGCCACGGCUAACUACGUGCCAGCAGCCGCGGUAAUACGUAGGUGGCAAGCGUUAUCCGGAAUUAUUGGGCGUAAAGCGCGCGUAGGCGGUUUUUUAAGUCUGAUGUGAAAGCCCACGGCUCAACCGUGGAGGGUCAUUGGAAACUGGAAAACUUGAGUGCAGAAGAGGAAAGUGGAAUUCCAUGUGUAGCGGUGAAAUGCGCAGAGAUAUGGAGGAACACCAGAGGCGAAGGCGACUUUCUGGUCUGUAACUGACGCUGAUGUGCGAAAGCGUGGGGAUCAAACAGGAUUAGAUACCCUGGUAGUCCACGCCGUAAACGAUGAGUGCUAAGUGUUAGGGGGUUUCCGCCCCUUAGUGCUGCAGCUAACGCAUUAAGCACUCCGCCUGGGGAGUACGACCGCAAGGUUGAAACUCAAAGGAAUUGACGGGGACCCGCACAAGCGGUGGAGCAUGUGGUUUAAUUCGAAGCAACGCGAAGAACCUUACCAAAUCUUGACAUCCUUUGACAACUCUAGAGAUAGAGCCUUCCCCUUCGGGGGACAAAGUGACAGGUGGUGCAUGGUUGUCGUCAGCUCGUGUCGUGAGAUGUUGGGUUAAGUCCCGCAACGAGCGCAACCCUUAAGCUUAGUUGCCAUCAUUAAGUUGGGCACUCUAAGUUGACUGCCGGUGACAAACCGGAGGAAGGUGGGGAUGACGUCGAAUCAUCAUGCCCCUUAUGAUUUGGGCUACACACGUGCUACAAUGGACAAUACAAAGGGCAGCGAAACCGCGAGGUCAAGCAAAUCCCAUAAAGUUGUUCUCAGUUCGGAUUGUAGUCUGCAACUCGACUACAUGAAGCUGGAAUCGCUAGUAAUCGUAGAUCAGCAUGCUACGGUGAAUACGUUCCCGGGUCU